This 938-nucleotide small RNA is filed under the name Mycoplasmopsis bovigenitalium. RNAcentral describes it as "bacterial LSU rRNA". The stretch from base 441 to 938 matches the Rfam family "Bacterial large subunit ribosomal RNA", at positions 1 to 497 of the family's 2925-position model. Lineage: Bacteria; Bacillati; Mycoplasmatota; Mycoplasmoidales; Metamycoplasmataceae. The record is from RNAcentral.
CGCCCGUCAAACCAUGGGAGCUGGUAAUGCCCGAAGUCGGUUUAUUAACAAACUGCCUAAGGCAGGACUGGUGACUGGGGUUAAGUCGUAACAAGGUAUCCCUACGAGAACGUGGGGAUGGAUUACCUCCUUUCUACGGAGUACAAAGCUAAUUUAAUUAGCAUUAACCUUAUUUUUCAGACCUACUAUUAUUAUUUAUCGUCAUGGCUUGGUUAGGUCCCAAGUGUAUAUCUAGUUUUGAGAGAACAAUUCUCUCAAUUGUUCUUUGAAAACUGAAUAGUAAAUAUUUUAAAAUAUUACAACGACAUCAAAAAAUGAAUAAAUUUGGUUUACUCGUAUUGAUUCAUCGAGUAAUCAUAUUAAUAAUAUGAUUCAUUGAAAUGUCUUAAAAUACACAUCAUAACAAUAGGAAAUCUUAAUUUAAUAAAUUAAGGACAUACUUUUAAAUAAGUAAGAGUUUGUGGUGGAUGCCUUGGGUCUGGAAGUCGAUGAAGGACGUGAUUACCUGCGAUAAGCCUCGUGGAGCUGGAUAUAAGCUACGAAACGGGGAUUUCCGAAUGGGGAAACCUAACUAGGGUAAUGCCUAGUUGCCUUCUUGUGAAUACAUAGCAAGUCGAGCGAGACACCAUGUGAACUGAAACAUCUUAGUAGCAUGAGGAACAGAAAAUAAAUAAUGAUUUUUUUAGUAGCGGCGAGCGAACGAGAAACAGCCCAAACCACUUUAAAGUGGGGUUGUAGGACAGUCUAUAUAGAGUUACAAAAUUUAAUGAUAGCAGAAACAUUUGGGAAAAUGUAGCAUAGAGGGUGAUACUCCUGUACGCGAAAUCAUUAAAUCUCUUGACUGUAUCCUGAGUAGGGCGGGGCACGUGAAACCCUGUCUGAAUCCGCCGGGACCACCCGGUAAGGCUAAAUACUAACCAGACACCGAUAGUGAACUA